Molecule: ribosomal RNA, 493 nt
Filed under: uncultured bacterium
Lineage: Bacteria
Description: bacterial SSU rRNA
Rfam family: Bacterial small subunit ribosomal RNA
Source: RNAcentral
AAAGGAAUAGACGGGGGCCCGCACAAGCGGUGGAGUAUGUGGUUUAAUUCGAAGCAACGCGAAGAACCUUACCUGGGCUUGACAUCCUCUGAAUACAGUAGAGAUAUUGUCGGCUCGCAAGAGACAGAGAGACAGGUGCUGCAUGGCUGUCGUCAGCUCGUGUCGUGAGAUGUUGGGUUAAGUCCCGCAACGAGCGCAACCCUUAUCCUUAGUUGCCACCAUUAAGUUGAGCACUCUAAGGAGACCGCCGGUGAUAAACCGGAGGAAGGUGGGGAUGACGUCAAGUCCUCAUGGCCCUUAUGUCCAGGGCAACACACGUACUACAAUGGCUGAAACAAACCGACGCAAACUCGCAAGAGAUAGCAAAUCGGAAAAACACAGUCUCAGUUCGGAUUGUGGUCUGCAACUCGACCACAUGAAGUUGGAAUCGCUAGUAAUCGCAGAUCAGCAAGCUGCGGUGAAUACGUUCCCGGGCCUUGUACACACCGCCCGU